RNAcentral lists this long non-coding RNA (223 nucleotides) under Elaeis guineensis (African oil palm). RNAcentral's name for it is "long non-coding RNA (EGUI_LNC072414)". The record is from RNAcentral. Lineage: Eukaryota; Viridiplantae; Streptophyta; Magnoliopsida; Arecales; Arecaceae.
GUGUCCGAUGGUAGUGUCGGUCUCGUGCUACCUGCCCGUUGGCUCUGUCCCCCCUCUCGCCCCUUCGGUCGUUUCCACGGCCCUCCAUGUGCGGACUUCGGAUUGUCCCCCUCCCCUCCUACCCACCCAAAUGUUUCGGGUGUUCUUGGGCGGGUUUGGUCCCGUGCUUCCUAUCGGUGGGCUCAGUCCACCCUCGCCCCUUCGAUCGGUUCCGUGGCCCUUU